AUACCUGGGCUCUCACAAAACAUCACCUCAGUCUCUGCUGCUGUUGCUGUAGAGCACUGUGUAUUCAUAUGGCACAGAUACGCUUGCUGGAAUCAGAGCAAGAGGAAUAGUGGCAGAGAGAAGUCUCUCUUAACUCUGAUGUCUCGAGUAAACCCAAACCAGCUCCUGAGCUGCUUGAAUUCUGGCAUUUGAUUGAAUGAUUCAUAGGCCUUUAUUUAAUGGAUGGGAAGAAAGGAAAUGUUUAUUGAGCAACUACUCUCUUUCCUUAAGAAUUAUAUGUAAAAUACCUAUUUUACCCCUAAGGAGACUGAAACUCAAGAGUUUGAGUAGCUUUCCCAAAGUCACAUAGCUCAUUUGUAUAUAUGUGUGUGUGUGUAUAUAUAUGCAUAUAUAUAUACACACACACACAAAAUUAGCUGGGCGUGGUGGUGUGCGCCUGUAAUCCCAGCUACUCAGGAGGCUGAAGCAUGAGAAUUGCCUGAACCCGGGAGGCCGAGGUUG
Molecule: long non-coding RNA, 501 nt
Filed under: Pan troglodytes (chimpanzee)
Lineage: Eukaryota; Metazoa; Chordata; Mammalia; Primates; Hominidae
Description: long non-coding RNA NONPTRT016626
Source: RNAcentral